Cyprinus carpio carpio is the source of this 995-nucleotide long non-coding RNA. The record is from Ensembl. NCBI's taxonomy places the organism in Eukaryota, Metazoa, Chordata, Actinopteri, Cypriniformes, Cyprinidae.
GUAUGAUUCCUGCGAGAAGCCGGCGUUAGUUUGAUGUUGAAAGAGAGCGAGGCUGCUGUGGAACAUCAAGCAGAGUUGUGGAGGUUGUCAUGUGACACAUUCACUAGCCCAACAGUGGGAGAUCUUCAGAACCAUCUCCUCUUCCCCACUGUGUGGCCUGUCACUUAACCCUUACUCGCUCAAUUCAUCUCUGUCAGGACACUGCUGAAGAUGCUGUUUGAUGACUUCCGUUGGCUCCUCAGGUGUCACGUCACAAAGCCCCGAGGAAAUAAAAGAAGAAUGAAUGGGAACUCCUACACGUAAUGCUCCAAUCAAACAGACCUUGAGCUGAAGAUAACACACUUAUCCAGAGAAAAGGACACAUGCUCUGGACACCAAGCAAGCCAGGACCACCACUCAAAUCAUGGGUGCAUGAUGCCCAUGAUGGUACUCCAGAUGAUCUGAAGAUGUUGGAGCUGUUUUAUCAUCAGACUCUUUGAGGGCCCAGAGGCAGAGACGUAAACAAGAGCAACUGAUCAAGAGAUAGGACGGUUGUCUCUCAGACUGGGACAGAUAAGUUCUACUGAGCCUCCAGAGGGGCAAAGGCUAUUCUGACUGGCACAAUAAGGCAGAUGGAGACACAGGUAGUGCCCAAAUGGAGAUGCAGGGAAACCCUGAAGACCAGACAAAGGCCCUAACAGAGACCAAGCCACUUGCUGCUUGUCUGAUCUGCAUUUGAUUAAACUUUAAACAUGGACACAACAGUGUGCCUGCUCCAAAUGAACAGCAAUAACUUGGUGCACAUCUGACAUCCUCUUGGCUAUUUAAGUAUCACUGAAUUUGAACAUCCUGUCAACAUAUUUUGACGUUCACUAUGAUUUUACCUAUAUUAUCUGUCAAGAACAUAAUCAUGAACCUGGGUUCCAUGUGAAUUCUUGUACUUUCAUUGUAUGACUACUUAUGUGUAGCAGGCAAGUGUGCAUCUUCAGACACAGGGCAAGAUAGGGAUAGCGAAG